Molecule: ribosomal RNA, 468 nt
Filed under: uncultured bacterium
Lineage: Bacteria
Description: partial 16S ribosomal RNA
Rfam family: Bacterial small subunit ribosomal RNA
Source: RNAcentral
GACGAACGCUGGCGGCGUGCUUAACACAUGCAAGUCGAACGGAAAGGCCCUGCUUUUGUGGGGUGCUCGAGUGGCGAACGGGUGAGUAACACGUGAGUAACCUGCCCUUGACUUUGGGAUAACUUCAGGAAACUGGGGCUAAUACCGGAUAGGAGCUCCUGCUGCAUGGUGGGGGUUGGAAAUUUUCGGCGGGUGGGGAUGGACUCGCGGCUUAUCAGCUUGUUGGUGGGGUAGUGGCUUACCAAGGCUUUGGCGGGUAGCCGGCCUGAGAGGGUGACCGGCCACAUUGGGACUGAGAUACGGCCCAGACUCCUACGGGAGGCAGCAGUGGGGAAUAUUGCACAAUGGGCGGAAGCCUGAUGCAGCAACGCCGCGUGCGGGAUGACGGCCUUCGGGUUGUAAACCGCUUUCGCCUGUGACGAAGCGUGAGUGACGGUAAUGGGUAAAGAAGCACCGGCUAACUACGUG